AUCUUCACGGUCACACUCGUCCCGGUAUCAAAUCCCGCCUCUUUCAGCCAGUCGCCUUUAAGGUGCAGGCUGGGGCUGCGUGUAUAUCCGGUGGGGACUUUGGUUUUGCGGUUAGCGCG
RNAcentral lists this small RNA (119 nucleotides) under Citrobacter europaeus. RNAcentral describes it as "isrA Hfq binding RNA". It matches the Rfam family "isrA Hfq binding RNA". Lineage: Bacteria; Pseudomonadati; Pseudomonadota; Gammaproteobacteria; Enterobacterales; Enterobacteriaceae. The record is from RNAcentral.